Molecule: ribosomal RNA, 468 nt
Filed under: uncultured bacterium
Lineage: Bacteria
Description: partial 16S ribosomal RNA
Rfam family: Bacterial small subunit ribosomal RNA
Source: RNAcentral
GACGAACGCUGGCGGCGUGCUUAACAAAUGCAAGUCGAACGGAAAGGCCCUGCUUUUGUGGGGUGCUCGAGUGGCGAACGGGUGAGUAACACGUGAGUAACCUGCCCUUGACUUUGGGAUAACUUCAGGCAACUGGGGCUAAUACCGGAUAGGAGCUCCUGCUGCAUGGUGGGGGUUGGAAAGUUUCGGCGUUUGGGGAUGGAAUGGCGGCUUAUCAGCUUGUUGGUGGGGUAGUGGCUUACCAAGGCAUUGACGGGUAGCCGGCCUGAGAGGGUGAGCUGCCACAUUGGGAUUGAGAUACGGCCCAGCCCCCUACGGGAGGCAGCGGUGGGGAAUAUUGCAUAAUGGGAGGAAGCCUGAUGCAGCAAAGCCGCGUGCGGGAUGACGGCCUUCGGGUUGUAAACCGCUUUCGCCUGUGACGAAGUGUGAGUGACGGUAAUGGGUAAAGAAGCACCGGCUAACUACGUG